CAAUCAUUAAUUAAGAAUUCUCCAGAAAAUUUAAUAAAUAAAUACAUACAUCAAAAGAAUACCCAAAAAAUUCCAUCAUCAAGCCAUAAAACAUAAGGCUGGAAACUUGGAACACAGAAUUUUGAACGGCAGAGUAUUCGUUUGCCGAACCCGCUGUAAAUAUGCAAUCUGCACAAAGAACUGUUCCCCUGAUUGAAAUAGUUAGAACUUCUUCAUGUUAAGAUUCUCAUGAAUCUCAAUUAGUUAAAA
This is a non-coding RNA of Schizosaccharomyces pombe (fission yeast), 249 nucleotides long. NCBI's taxonomy places the organism in Eukaryota, Fungi, Ascomycota, Schizosaccharomycetes, Schizosaccharomycetales, Schizosaccharomycetaceae. The record is from the annotation of a GenBank genome assembly.